Long non-coding RNA from Parus major (Great Tit), 1594 nucleotides. RefSeq lists it as uncharacterized. Lineage: Eukaryota; Metazoa; Chordata; Aves; Passeriformes; Paridae. The record is from RefSeq and is a predicted model, not a curated record. The transcript has 3 exons.
UGCCCAACUCUUUUUUUAAAUGAGAUUCUGUUAUCCAUCUGAAAAGGCAGGAAGAAGCACUUUGUGACUUUUGGAAUUGGGAGGGUAUGUCUGUUAUGUGUUUUUGAGCACUUGCAUACAAAGGUAUGGAGAGUUGUGUGAGGACUUGAAACAGACUGUGGAAUUGGAAUACCAUCUGUGACAGAAUGUACAACAGCAGAAGUGGAAGCUGUUGUACUGACUGCACAGUAAAGGAUCCAAAUGGCAAAUUUAUGUUCAGGGUUACUUAAGCUUGAAUAGAAGUAUAAGGUCUCUUUCUUAGCUCAUCUGAGUCAGUAGGGUCCUUCCCUUGACUUUAAUGAGCAUCUAUGUUGAGCUGAAAUUCGAAUCUUGAAAUGAAACCUUGGCAUCCAGGUAACUGAGAUUUUAAAAGCAUGAAUUUGCAGUUUGUCAAAACACCAAGGAGAUACUGCUGAUGAAACAGCACCUAUGCUAUGUACUAAAUCAUAAUGUACUUAGUGAAACACAGAUGUCUCUAGAAGGAAAAUGCCUAUUGAAAACCAGACCCAUGUCAAACUAGGGUCAUCCAUUUGCACAGGUUUAUUAACAGUCACCUACACCUGAACAGCGACAGGCUCUCUCAGAACAAGGCAGGACUCAAAAUGUUUGGAGCAAGUGCAACUGAAGGAGCGUGCAGUCAAAUCAGCCCUCACUGGAAAAGCAGCAUCUGUGUCUAUAGAAUAAUUGAAGGAGCUGGAUGGAAAGGAAACAAAAUGAUGAGAGGAGGAGAUGCCACGGCUGAAUUGAAACUGAUGAGAAGUCACAUAAGAAAAAAAAUAAAGAAUAGCACUGAUGUCAGGUGUCACAAAAACAAAACAAAGAAGAAAUUACGAACAAGCAGGUGCCAUGAGAAAACAGCACAUGUGGAGGGUUGCAGAGUCUGGACACCCAGGAUGUCUUCUGCUGCUACUGCCAUUAUUUAGAAGAUGAAAAGCUCAAUCUGAUGUUUUGUAGGGCUGCUCUGAUGCACAAAGUAACAGAGAAAGCAGAAGAUACAUGAAGAAAAAAGGAUCCAGUAACUCUACACACAAGACGAUAGCUUUGUGGUUUUUAAGUGCCAUGGGCCUGCCUUGCGUGUGACUGACUACCUCUCCUCACAACCCCAUGCAAUUCACCUCCUGUUCUUCUUCCUGAAAUGCUCAGCUCUCUGACACUUGUACUUCCUAUAACCCCAGCCACAGCUUUUGGAUACCUACCACUGAAUUUUAUGAACUGUUCAGGAAACUGUUUUAGUGGAUGACAAAUGCAGGUCUGGGCUCAAAAGUGUAAUAUUGCAAAAUGACGGGCAGGAUCAAGAUUGUUUGUUUCAGCUGGCUUAAAUAAAACUGCUGAGGGCAGAGAAAAGGUAUUAAAGCGUUGUGAUGAAGUUCUGUGUUUUUCUCUCUUUCUGGAGCAACGCAUGACUCUGUAGACAUUAAAUAUGCUUUUGUUCCUCUUUAAGUACAGAAACAAUCUCUGGGAAAAGAACUCUUUCUAAAGACUGAAGUGAAAGCAAAAAAUAUUGCGGCUUUGACAUUUAUUGGACAAGGCUGCUGUUUCACAGGUGUAUAUGGGU